CAUUCUGCCUAUAGGGGAAGGAUGAGAAGCUUCGACUAAGGUUCGACUCGAGCGUCAGCGAGAGAGCGUUGCCACAGGCAACGACCCGAAGGGUGAGGAGCUUUAGCUCCGAAUAAUCCUUCCCCCACCACCA
Molecule: small RNA, 133 nt
Filed under: Escherichia marmotae
Lineage: Bacteria; Pseudomonadati; Pseudomonadota; Gammaproteobacteria; Enterobacterales; Enterobacteriaceae
Also listed under: 1 other name
Description: RtT sRNA
Rfam family: RtT RNA
About the family: This family represents a bacterial cis-regulatory element known as RtT RNA. The exact function of RtT is unknown although it is thought that it may be involved in changing the cellular response in relation to amino acid starvation.
Source: RNAcentral